Non-coding RNA from Nelumbo nucifera (sacred lotus), 1126 nucleotides. The record is from RefSeq and is a predicted model, not a curated record. Lineage: Eukaryota; Viridiplantae; Streptophyta; Magnoliopsida; Proteales; Nelumbonaceae.
UCAGUAGGAGACCCAAUUUAAAAUCACGAUUCACGACUCAUGAGGUGACGGAGAUGGAAAAGGCGCGCUUUAAGCAGUUUGUUUCAUGUUCCCGCUAUAGUGUUUGCAGACUACAAUCCGGCAGUGCUUUUUCUCUGCCUCGAAAGUCGAAACCAGUUCUUCUUCUCUCCUCCCCUGCCUUAUCUAUAUUGAGAUUCGAGAUACAUCUCAAAUAAGGAAAGAAGAUUCAUCUUUAACCAAAGGCGAAGGUUUGUAGCAUUGUAUGGCCGGAAAUUGUUUUAUUCUGCAUCUGGAUUCCGGAAGAUACGUGAAAUGGGGAGUAUCCAAAUUGGCAUUUGUUGUACUGUUUAAAUAUUGUCACUGCAGAUAUUCAUUUAUUUACUUUAGGGAGCUUAUUGCAAAGGGAUAAAAGCAGGAGGCCGAUCUACGAGCAACUGAGCCCUUGAAUCUUAAAAGGAGGCCCUGCUGCUUCAUGCUUUAGAAACUGAAUAUCUUAAGGCAGGGUCUCACUCAGCAAGUCCAGAACCUCAAGGUAGAAUCAGAAAGAUUAAAAUCUGAUAAUAAGCAGCUUCCAAACUUAAGGCAAGGGAAUGAUCGGCUAAACAUGGAGCUUUACAUGCCAGCAUGGGUGUUACAGAUAGUGACGCUCAAAUCGAAUCAGCAUAAUCUAUUUCCUUUUGGCUGGCCCUUACGACUGUUGGCAUGAGGCAUGACGCUCAAAUUUUGAAUGGGUAGCAACUAGCAACGCGUCUGAUCCUUGAAGUUGAAGAGAUAUGGUUAGUGAUAGUGAUAUGAUAAUUUGAUCUAGUUGAUCGACGGUAGACGCAAUUUCUUUCAUUCAGUGGUGGUUCUUAACUUUGGGAGGGCGGCUCGGAGCUGGCAUAAAUUGUUUUAUGAAAGAAAAAUGAAUGGAAAUUUGAAAAAUUAACUUAGUGCACUGUGGACCAUGCCAUGCUGUACGUGGGACUUACCCAACAGGCACAGUCCGGCAGUCCGGGCUGGGGUCGGGUGCGUGCUGUGCUUGGCACGGCACAGCACUGCAAUGUAGCCCAUGACCCACAUUAUGUCAGGUUAGACCGGCCCAUGGAUAUUUAACACGGGAUGUGGGCUAAACUGGUCCAUUUCA